GAUGAACGCUGGCGGCGUGCCUAAUACAUGCAAGUCGAGCGAACAGACGAGGAGCUUGCUCCUCUGACGUUAGCGGCGGACGGGUGAGUAACACGUGGAUAACCUACCUAUAAUACUGGGAUAAUUUCGGGAAACCGGAGCUAAUACCGGAUAAUAUAUUGAACCGCAUGGUUCAAUAGUGAAAGACGGUUUUGCUGUCACUUAUAGAUGGAUCCGCGCCGCAUUAGCUAGUUGGUAAGGUAACGGCUUACCAAGGCGACGAUGCGUAGCCGACCUGAGAGGGUGAUCGGCCACACUGGAACUGAGACACGGUCCAGACUCCUACGGGAGGCAGCAGUAGGGAAUCUUCCGCAAUGGGCGAAAGCCUGACGGAGCAACGCCGCGUGAGUGAUGAAGGUCUUCGGAUCGUAAAACUCUGUUAUUAGGGAAGAACAAAUGUGUAAGUAACUAUGCACGUCUUGACGGUACCUAAUCAGAAAGCCACGGCUAACUACGUG
Molecule: ribosomal RNA, 497 nt
Filed under: uncultured bacterium
Lineage: Bacteria
Description: partial 16S ribosomal RNA
Rfam family: Bacterial small subunit ribosomal RNA
Source: RNAcentral